CUGAAAAAUAUUAGCAUCUUUUAAUUUUACUUUUGCGAAGCCAGCCAGAGGUCAGAGAUUUCAGGUCGUCACAGAAUCAAUCGAUAUUGAUUAAAGGUCAAAGCAAGUACUGAAAACACAGUGUGCACUCCCACCAAACAAAGCACUGUCCUUCCUGUAGCAAAAAGAAAAUGAGAAUAGAGUGAGAUAUAGCAGCUUGUCUCAUCGUUUUCUGCCUUCUAAGCCCCAGCUGCCAACACAGUCCUUGUCCUCUCUGUGCCAGCUCCUCCUGGAUCACUGCAGCCAAUGAGCCCACUAUCUGCUUGGACAUCUCUCAGGAAGAAAACUGGAUAUUUUUUCCUUGUGUUUCAAAAAUCUCAACAGAAGCUGUACUUGUCAAAAGCCUGGACCAGGCUCUGAGGAUCGGUUACAAGGAUAUAUCCAGGAAAAAUACAUAUUCAUAAAAGAUGCAACUUCAAAGAGUACUUCAGAAAAGCUUUUGCGGGAUUUGUAUUUUUCAAAAAGUUUUUUUCUGGGGACCUCUACUUCAAUUUUUCUGCACAUCUUUGAUACCAACACAUACCAGAGCUCUUUACCAAAAGAUGUUAAAAUUUCUUUAGAGGCCUCCUGCUGUUUGUUAAUUCAGUAGCUAUACCACUGAGCAGUUCUUGCAGUCACCACAUUAGGAGCCAUCAGCUGUUGUAAGCAUAAAACCUCAAUUGCCUUUCCUCUGCAAUACAUACAAGCCCAUGAUCCAACACUACAUUGCAGCUCCUGGAGUCACCCAGGGAAAAUUUGCUUCUUCUCUAUGAGAUGAUGAGUGCCAAUUACAGUAGUUUGCUGUCAAUUUUGCCAGUUCCAUUUUGUUCCUCUAUUCCUCAUUUUAAUCCCUUUCUCAGUAAAUCAGAGAUGCACUCCUUUACUCUGGGAUGUUUCUAUAUAAUUCCAUCUAAUACUGGACUUUGUCUUUGAUGCCCUCAGUGUGUACACACUGAAGGCAUCAUAUUCCAUAUGCACAUAUUCCAUUAGGACAGCAGCAUGCCGAGCAGUAAACUGGAUAUAAUCUAGCUCCCAUCUUCAAGCUAAAAUUAAACAGAUUAUUUUACUCUCAUUUAUCAGUUCAUGUUCUGCUGUUUAACUAGGAGCUAUGGCUCUUCUAGUUGUUUUAACACAUUUUAUUGACUGCAAUCCACUAAACCUUCUCCCCCUCAUCAGCAAACACAGACAAGCUCCCCUGUGAUUACACACUGUAUUGUUGUCAGAGGCUUUUCUGAGCUGUUUCACUUUACAAGUUCACUUGUCCUUAGUAAUACAUAAAUAGUUCACAUAUAACUGAAAUAGUUCCCUAAAAGCCAUUCAUCCCCAGAGGAAACUGCUCUUUAAUUGUUUGUUAUGCCCUCUCAGCAAGGAGGCUGAAAUACACCAUACAUGUGCAUCAUUUUAUUUAAAUGACAUCCUACCUUGCUACGAAAGCUGCCAGAGCUAUUUGUUCUUCUUCCACUAAGGCUGCCAACUACAGAAAGCCCCCUGAGAACAAAGCAGCAGAUGAAAAAGAAGUGCCAAUGCUUCAGGCAACUAUUUUAGCCAGAGCUGUACCAGCAACAAUAUGCAGCAGGAAAAAAAUACAUACUUCAAAGAAUUCUCCUCAACCUAAAAAAUAUCACCUACUUUCUGGAGACUGAGAACAAAAACCUAUGUCUUUGGCAUAGUUUUAAAGGACAUGCUAAGCAGAUUCUUCAACAGGAUUACCAAGCAAGAAAAGUCCCCAUCUUCAGGAUCCAAAUCAGGUUUUAAUGGCUGGAGAAAACACUAUCAAAAAAAUAUGGGAGUGUAUUUUUGUGCUUCCUCAUGCAGCUCAGACACUAUCAGUAAAUGUUGGAACUAUUUAUCUCCGUCUUUCAUUUCAGUGUUGAUUGGACGAACUCCUUGCAGCCAACAGCAAGCACAGCACAAUUCUGCUUGGGAGAAAGCUGGCAAGGGCACUGGGUUUUUAAGUGGCUGUUACCAAUUCACAUUGUUAGCACCUGCUGCCAUUGCAGCUUAUCCAAGAGCAGCACUGGCUCAUUGGUUUUCCAGCAUCCUGACUGGAAGAGCCAAAAAAUGUGGCAUGGAUGACAUGCCUAGACAGCAGCUGGAGAAGACCUCAGAGGAGGAUGUGAACCUCACUCACACCAAAGUAACCAAUUCAGAAAGCCAGAAAAAAAAAAAACAAACAACAAACAGAUAAGCAAAGAAAAGCAUACAUGUGUCAGGUAACUCACUCUUGCAACAGCUCCAGUUUUAUAAAUCAAAUACAUUUUGUAUAUUUAUAGACCCAUUUCUUCCUUUGUAGGCCAAUGACAGCCCACAGAGCUCUGCAUAGAUUUGCCAAAAAUAAUUACUCUGGUCACUUAGAAAAGCAGAGGAUCUGUCAUUCAGGCCUAGCAACAGUUCACUUACCCUUCCUCCCUCGCAACAAGCAAACAUCGCCUGCCCUCCCCACUCCCAACUUGUUUGUACUGGCUUUCUGGCUGCUGGCAGAAACAACAGCUCACCUGGGUGUAAAACCAUUUCUGAUGAGAGGACUCUGUGCUAUUCAAGUCCAAGUACAUGUGAGAAGUGUAAUUCAAGAAAAUACUGGCUGCCAAGAAAAGGCACAGGUUCCGUCUGUGAUAAAACUGUCUCACAGUAUGACUGGAUAAAACCCACUCCAAAUAAGAUUGCCAUUGUUGCAGCUCUUGGCAAACUGUGAUGGGAUAUGGUAAAGGAAGAGGAGGAAACAAAACCAAUAAUACCGAACAACUAACUAUAGCACUACCCACAGCCACAGAAAACAGUAUUUUCCUCAAAGGUUUUUCAUUAGCAUAUAUUUUAUUAUUACUGUAGUGUCAUAGAAUUGCAAACUACUUUCUAAUUUUGUUUUAUAUGAAAUUUUUUAAGCAACGAUUUUUGGAAAAGAACUAUACAAUUCCUGCUCCCCCCAUGGAAGCCUUCCUGCUUCUUCCCCACACACAGGCUCACCAUUUGUUUUUUAGUUGAUGGCUGCCGUCAGCACAGAGCUUUUUUCUCUUUUUUCUAAAAGCAGUAUUUUGGACAAUUGUACAAUUCAUGUUGCUAAGAACUAUGUGUAACAUUCAGGAAACAGUUAGGACAUCUUAAAGCUGCAUCCAGAGACUACCAUGACAAAACUUUCGCCCUCUGCUAUACCACCCACCUUUCCACACCAGGGAAGCCUCAGACCUGACAAUUGUCCUUACUCUCAGCAGUGGCACAGCUGUUAAGUAUCAGCUUUUCCAGAGUUGUAUGCACAUCAGUUACAAUCAUCUAGGAUGAUAUUAAUACCUUAUAUUUUCUCUGUGGCACAUCUGUGCUGUUUCAUAAUGCAAAACUUACAUAUAUGCUGUAGCUAUAUUUGGCACUGUUUGGCAUGCAUAUAUAUUAGUAGACACAUUUCAAAAAUAACUUCAAGUUUAGCACUGUUAAAAAAUCCUCAAUCUAAACAUUUUUCUUAGCUAGUCAGAAAUACCCUUUAAAAAAAACAAACCCAAGCCAUAAAGACAUGGAGACUUAUACAUUCUUUUUGAACUGUGCUAGUGCUUAAGACCUAAUCUCCACCCCCCAAAAACGUGAGCUACCAGAUACCAAUCUUUGUUUAAAGUACUGUCAGAUGCCAGUCUUGAAAUAUACAACUCUGAGAUGAAAUUUUAACUUCAGUUGCCUUUGAAUAACUUAAUAGCUAACAUUCAGAUAAUCCAGUAAACAAAGAUUAAAAAAGGAUAAAAUAAAGGAAGAAAUAUUAACAAUCUAUGUAUUAACAUUUCUCUACAGUGAUUACUGGAGAGUUCUUUGAAUAACAGCACAGUGCCUUUAUAGCUGUUUGCUAUUAUGUUUUAUUCUAUGUUCACAUUUUUUUUUAAUUGUUUCAAAUUUUUGGGGAUAUCAUCUAGUCAUUUCAGUAUAGUUGCUGCAUUAUUGCUUGUCAUAUCAUGUUUCAGUUUGAUACAAAAUAUCUUUCCUUAACACUCUUGUCCCUGCUCAUUUGACAGUGAUUUUAUCUUUUGUUUUAAAUGUUAUAAAAACCAACACUCUUGUUCAUGUGCCAGCACCUUCGAUUAUUUCAGCUGCAGUAUGAACAGUUUGGGGAGUAGCAUUGGAUAGUUAGUUCAUGAUGAACAACCUGGAAACUGGAAAGAAUACUUGUUCUUGAACAAAUUUUUCAUUAUAAGAAACCUGAUUUAUUUUUCCUUUUUUUUUCAUCCCCAACAGGAGAAUGACAGUUCAUUAAUGGAAGAGAUACAGUAAAUCCCUAAAAUAGUCUCUGAAAAACUGGAAUCAAUUUCAAUGGAUGCUGAUUUAAGGUCCUAAAAUUUGGAGGUUUUUUCUGCUUAUAAACUAUUUGGCACAUGCAUUGAAGAUGGGGGGGAGGGGGAACCAGAACAAAAAACCUAAUUAUUGUAAGGUGCUUUAUAGCUUUUCAGCUCAAUUAAUGACUUAAAAAAUUAUAUUUUUGGUGAUUAGCAUCUAGUCACAGACUUAAAUAUGGCCUCUUAAGUGUAAAUUGAUUGCUACAGAAAUGUCCAUACUGUAUGUAACAUGUGUUGCACUUCAAAUACAAAUGCUCAUUAUAAUGUCUUCAUUAUCUUUGAAGUUAGUAACAUCAGGUUUGAUCCAGCACCACUGAAACAUAUGGGAACUUUAAUAUUGCUCCCUACAGAAGCAGAAACACACUAACACUUUUGAAUAUAUUUCUAGAUAGAAAGUCUGAAAUACAUUUUGAAUAUAAUGCCACAGAGAAAAAAAGUUGAAGUGGAAAAAGUCAAGUUUAAAUUGUACAGAAUGAAAAAUAAACAGAACAGAGGACACAGAUGCAACAAAGCAGGAUGAAGAUGGAACAAACUGUGCUUCUCAAAUUUCUAUAUUACAGGGAAUUCUGAUGUACAAGAUGAGCAGUACCAAGAGCAAGCAAAACACAGAUUAUAUAAUACUUUAGAAACAAAUACUCUUCUAAUGGCACAGGAAACAUGUACAAAACAAAAUAAAGAGGCUUUCUCUUUCUCCACUUCAUUUUCCUCUCUAAGUUCAUGUGCCCUCUAGAUUUAAAACAAAGAUUUCUAAGAUAUUCAGUAUAAUUUCUUCAACUAGCACAGCUUUCCUUGUACAUCAGACAGUCUCUCCUCACCUGUUUGCUGCCACAUCAUAUUGUGUUUCAUUUUUUCCAUUGUCAGGCUGAGAUAGUCCCUUUCACUGAUGGACUUUAAAUUCACUUGAACCCACAGUCAGCUGCAUCAUCAUCAAGUAACCAGACUCCAUUUGACUGAAUUUUUACUGUGUUAGUACCCAGAGAAUUAGAACCUAGAGAAAAAAUACAGUGUGCCUUAAGUAGUAGAAGUUUUUACAUUCUGUGCUAUUCCACUGAGCCAGAUCUUGAAAACUCUCUCAAGGAUCAGAUUACCCCUUACUCAUAAUAUUUUUAUUAUUAACCUACAAUUCACUUAGCUUUGACUCACAGACUUUAACUUCAGAAUAUAGACUUUGUUGGGCUUAAAAGCAGUGCCAGGAACGCAGAAGUGUCCCAGAUUGUUACACAGCUCUGUAGCAAUGCCUACAACAAGCACUGGCAGAAAGUGAACUACUCAUACCACUGGGAAGGAACAAUUUACACCUGAGCUGAUGGAGCAAAAAGGGAAUUGUUUGGUAUCUGCAAAGUACCCAUACUACACAAUGAUGGAAACACAUUUGAAAAUUUUCAGCUUAAGCAAAACCUAGUGAGCUAAGCAUAUCUGUACCCAGCCUCAGUGAAUUAACUGCUCGUUCUUGCUCUUUUUUCCAGUCACAAACUGCAUGUGAACAGCUGCUGAUUUUGUUAAUUGUUUUUUUGUUAAUUUUCAAAACUUUCUAUAACAAAAGCUACUUUUGGCUUAUUGUAUUAGGUAAGCAUUUGUUUUGAACUUCACACUUGCUUAUAAUUGUCAUGAGUCCAUGCAGUAAACGAGAAGCAGUGGUGAAGGGAGGAAAGAGCCUGACAAAAAAGAGAGGCUUAUGCCAUAUGGAGACAUCAAGGGAUAUAUCUGAUGUGGAUGCUUCCAGCAUUGCUUCUUCCUCCCUGAUUGGCAUUUCUGAAAGCCACCUUAGACUUCUGAAAUUCUCUCAGGUUUUGCUGUGUAGAACAGGGAACUAUUCUCCAGUAAAUGAGACAUCACUGAACACUGUCUUUUCCAAAAUGCCUGGAGUUAAAAACCGAAAAGCAGACCCAGCGGUUCUCCCACAACUGCCAAACAGCCAUUUUAAUAGCAGACUUGGAUGCCUGCAUAGCUUCACUCAAAUUAACAGGACAGGAAGGGGAACACAUGAGAUACGAGUAAGUGGAUAGAGCAGAGAUGGCAAAUCAGGGCAAAAUUAUGAUUGAGGCAAGACAUUCUUGCAAGAAAAUCAGCAGUUUUGUCUUGCCUGAGGCUGGGCAUUUAAAUCCUUGCUCAUUUGGCAUCCAUGCCCUGAUUAAAAGCUAUGAACAACUUGUGAACAGCCAUAAUGCUAUACUGACAAAUGGAUAUGGUCGAGCACCUGAGAAAUUCUGUACAGAAGAGAGUUGAGCAGAGGAAUUCCAAGUGGAAAUGUCCACACAACUAGUCAUUCCCAUCUGAUUUCUGUGGGUAAAUAAACACGCCACAGUUAACAUAGGUCUUGGAAAAAUUAGCUUAGAAGCAUAAAAUAGCACAUUCACAGAUGCAAGGCUCUUUUUGUCCUUCAUGAGCUGAGUAGACAAGUGUGGGAAAUACCUCCCACACUAAUUUUACAUCUCAGUGCUAGUCUCCCACAGAACUGAACAAUACCAAGUUAAGUACCACAGAUGGCUUUUGGUUUAAUUAAUUGACAAAGAACAGUACAAAUUCUGUGGGAUUAUGUGUUCAUGAUGGGCACAACAUUUUGCUCAAAUUGAUUUCUGACGACUGGUUGAAUGCCGAAAGAUGAAAAGUUCAUUUUGCAAAGUAUUGCGUUUACUCAAAAAAUAAAAUUAAAUUAGUAGCCAUGUGCUUGUUAUAUAGUCCUGGCUUCUACAGAGUCUGUAGAUGCUCACUGUUUACCUAUCUGCUACUGUAUUCAUUAAUGCUUACACUAAUGCUAUUGACACAGUUAUUUAAUAGUCACAUUAAAGUACUACUGCUAGGAUUCGAUUCCCAUUACUAAGUGCUGAACAAAUGUAUUGGAAUGACCUGUCUUGCCUUUGUGAAUGGAGCAUAAGAAUGGAGGAGCUGGGAGAUAGUGUCUCCUGCUAAAUUGUGUGCUAAAUUAAGUACAAAACAUUUAGUAGCUCAUCACUGUUGUAUUGCUAGAUUCAUCACGGCUGAUAAUUUUUCAAGGAGUAACUCAACAAACAUCUCCUUUUAAAAAGGAGCAUCUCAGGGUCUUUUGACCACUGUUCAUUUCAACAGAAAUGUGGAUUUGUAGCCCAACGGUUGGAAAUAAUUCCAGCACAUGAAUGCUCUUAUUUUCCUCAUUGUUAGUGUAUAGCUAGUUACAACAACAUCUCCAGAAAUAUCUGUGAUAUAAAUGAUUCCUACAGUACAGAGGAAAUGAAAUCAAGGUAUUAGGAACAGACUUUCACAUUUUUGCAAAGUAAAAUUUUGCUGUCACAUUGGAAUAGGAAAAUUAAAGUUUUGAUAAAAAUUACAUACACCUCAUUUUCUAUAACAGAGGAAUAUAGGAGUCUAAAUGAAAGUAGCCUGACUACUGUGAAAACUAACCUGAAAUCUGAAAGUCUCCUUUUCCUUAGCUUUUAAAAACCACUUUGUUGUUUGCUGUAAUAGUUUUUAUUCAAUCAUGGUCAAAGAAUGAGAGGUAUGAUUUAAUAUUUCUUUGUGUGUGAUGCAACAACACCCUAGGGACAGGGUAAGAACACCAUGGACAGUCUUUCUGUGUCCAGAAGUCAUAAAACAGCUCUAAAUACUGCAGUAGCAAAUAGAAGUCAAUGUCCUGACUGUUUUAAUAGUUGAUUUAAUACUUCUUCCAUUUCAUUCUUUCAAAUUCAGCAGUUUCAGCUUUUCUAAGGAUUAACCUUUUCCUCAGAUGAUCAGCAAACUUUCACUUUUGGCCAGAUGCCUGUAGAACAGGAGGGUCAUCAUGAAUCAACACCACUCUUUAGUGAACUUCUGCACAACUGCAGAAAACUAGAUGAAUUUUCCUUAGCUCCACCCUAGAUGAUACUCACAGCAACAAGGGCAUCUGCAUGCAGUGAAGUCUUCUUCCCUGUGGAAAAUGAGUUUCUCUGCAAAUCUGCCUUUCAAUCAGAAAAUAGAAGAGCAGACAAGCCUAUAAACGUGUUGGGGUUGUCACUUCAGCCAGAGGCAACCACUAACCUCUCCAAGGGCCGGAAGACAUAAUUCGGUAACAAGAGGAGACAUAUAAAUUAUUGCCAAAAUAUAAAGUAAUGUAUUUUGUUUUAUGGUUUUUUGCUUUGCUUUUUGCUUUACAUUUUGUUAGGGUUGCACUCUUUUCUGGGGAGACUCAUUCCUUCACAUUCAACUUCAUCCUGAAGAAAAAAGGAAAAUCUCUUUCUGUGCAACCCCUCAAUGCAGGACUCCUGGACACCAUAUAUCCCUCUGCUCAUUGCAGAAUCAUUGUAUGGAAUAAAUACCAGGAGGUCUAAAUGCCAGAAGUGAGGAACUUUCCCUAAAAAAUGGUGACACUUCACAGCAAGGUAUUAAAGGCUAUGCUGUCAGCUGUCCUAUAGAUGAGCCAGUCAGCAAUACAGGAGCCUGGUGAAAGGGCUAUGGAGUUCCUGUUCAUUAGCUAACUUUUACAUUCUUAUUUCCAAACAGAAACUGCACAUCCAUGUUCCCAAACAGAGUAAGAUCUUCCACCAGGCACAACGUGAAAAGAUGAAGUACUCAGCUAAAGAAUACAUAAGCACAGAGAAGUAGCACAGUUGCUAUCCUAUUUUGAUUAAAUUAUAAGUAUCAAUCAUUAAAACACUAAUGAGGUAUUAAAGCACAAAAGAGGUGUUUGCAAGGAUGCUCAUCAGACUCUCAAAGUAUUAAGGGCCCCUGGAUGUAGGAAAGUAAGGAAGCUGGAAGGUGUUACUUAUUUUUACUGCUUCUAGAAACUAGAUGUUUCUUUCAUUACCCCACAGGUCGUAGAGGAAAAAGUAGUCGUCACUUCCUGGGCAUAAGUCUGAAGGAUCCCAGAAAAGAAUGUGCCAAACUGCAACUCAGUCCAAAUAUUUAUAUAUUCAGGAAAUGUUAAUCUUCAGAUGCACACUACAGGGUCUGUAUGGAUGCUUUCUUUGGCAGCAUUUUGUUGUAUACCACAAUUUCUCAUUAGCAACAGCUACAGUCUAGCUCAGGAAAACUGUAAAUACAUUUUACAUUAGGCAUUUUGUUCCUCAAUUAUUUUCACAUGUUCCUAAUAAAGCUUCCUGCUCUGGUAACUGUUGGACAGGACUGUGUCCAAGAAAAUAGAAUGUGGUCUUAAAUUAUUUUCCAUACAAAAAGAAUUACUAUAUCUAAUUGUAGCUAUAAUGAACAAUGAUGGUUUAAAAAUAAUCAUUUAUGUCAUAUAUUUUGAAUGAUAGUUUGCUGUUAUGAGUGAGACAGUACAGUUUAGACUUUUGAAAAGGUUUUACAAAUACUCCAUUUUUUACUCCACUAAUACUGACAAAUAAAGCUGGUGACUGUUAAUGUCAAUUCUCUUACUUAUUUAUUUAAUUUUUGAAUUUUUACCACAAACAUUUAACCACUUGUGAUUAUGGGCAGAUUGGGAGCCAAUAAGUUUAAAAGUUCCUUCCAUUUUCCACAUUCCUGUCCUAAAUCAUGCUUUUGACCACUUCUAAUCUCUAACAACCUACUGGUUUAAUUACUUCCAUCUCUCAUAUUUUAACUCAGAGACACAUAUUUCAGCUAAAUAAAAUACCUCUGAGGAAUUAUUUCAACAGGGUUGACAUUCUCAUUUUUUCUUGAUCACAGUACCAUGUUAUACGACAUCUUUUCUGCAAGAGGCUUCCCAAUUUGUUUGUUAUGCAGAGAUAAAUAUAGUCAUUAUUAAUACAUUAACAUAAUCUUACUGCUAUGAUCUUCUAUAGGAAUAUCUAUGACCAUCAAUUCAAGACCUACCUGAGUCCAUCAACUAGUCUCUGUUGCUUUCCUGUUUCUUUUUUUUUCUUUUCUCAUGUCAUCUCUCCUAAACCACCUGGAAAAAAAAAAAAAAGAAAACUUUACACCCCUUAUAUGCCGCAUCUCCCACAAUAACUUUGAGGUGAAGAAUAUCUAUAAUAAACCUCAAGAUUCAUUGGUAAUGCUGUAAUGAAAACUAACAAUGAUGAUUUAGAUUAAUAUAUACAGCUGGAAUUUCUUUUCUCAACAUGUGUUAUCAGCAGAUUUGAAAUUUUUAGUUAUCGUAAUCCUUGCCAAUUGGUGCCAAAUAGCACCAAUCUCCAGCUUUUUGGCAUUCAAAGCAAUAACCCUAUUUUCUUUAGUUGAGAAGGCAGACUUUAUAAGCAGCAUAAUUUUAUCAAGUUUGUUGUUAAAUAUUAAUGUGGAAAUUAUGCAAUGUUUAAGCAGUGGGUUUUAAGAUUUAUUUUUCAUUAUGUCUGUUAUAACAAACCUUUAUUAAUAUCCUGUGAAAUAAGAAAUCUACAGCAUCACUAAUAAAACCUUUUAAGUGGUAAUCCUUCAGAAUCUUUCCUUGUAGUGGUAGAGCAUUUGCAGUACUAAACCAAUGAAAUUCACACAUACUGCAAUGGAGUAGUGGAGUGAUUAUUACAACAUUUUUUCCGAAGUACCAUGGGCUUUAGAUGAUUAGAGAGUAGUCUUAUGUUUUAAACUUUUUGCCAACAGUGAGGCUUUAAGUUGAGUUGGAUCAUGGAUAGAUUGCAGUAUAAUGUAUGUUGACAGUUUAAUAACAUGGGUUACUAUCCUUAGUUUGCUUUAUGAUGUAAUACAUCUUUAUAGGAGUCCCCAGAGAUUUCUACUAUGAUUUUCAAGGCAGAGAGAACUCAAUAAACUAAAAGAUUCUGAGCAAGAUUUCUAUUUCCUGUAUACUUUGGAAAUUUUCCUGAAAUAUAAAUAGGUGCUACAGCUUUUUAGAGUUUUUCUGACAUGACUUUUUGUUUUUCUAGUCAUGUAAUAGAUUUUAAAGGUACAUUUCAUACAAAGUUAUAAGUUUUUUAAAAGUUCCCUUCUAUAAUGAAUGGUCUUAUUUUUCAGAUCUCUAGGGGAAUUUUCUUUUCUGUAAAACAUAGUAAUUGAUUUUAUUUUCCUCUCUUUCAAUUCACAUUAUACAUGCAUUAACAUGAUGUAGUUUGCAAAUGUUUCCAAGUAAAGGUCACACAUGUUUGGCCUAAUUAUCUCUCACGUUUUGACAAGCACAUGCAUAGCAGUGAUUAAAUAUCAAGCAACAUAAAUCUAAAUAACGAUAUAAAAUAUAAGAAUUAUUUAAUUCUUCAAAUGCUUUCAUUUAAUUUUUACAGGUAAUCAGGAAAAGAAAAUAAUUAGAAUGGAAGGAAACUAUUGCUUUUAAUUAAAUAUUGGUCCAAGUGAAAAUAGCUUGAAAGGAUAUUCAAUCUACUUUAUUCGAUUGCCAGUUUUCACAAUAUUCUUGCAAUACUAGAUUUCAGAAACUACUGAAAGAAAAUUCUUCCUUUAAUAUAUUUCUGUUCAGAUUGUGUACAAAGUGAUGUUAAUUUUUUAAGUGUAACUGCUUUUCAGAAUUAUGCCUGUAGAUUAUGUUGUUCAAAUGUUUUCAAAUGCUACUGCUAACAUACGAUUUGCUGUGAUUAUGUGUAUAUUCUUCUAAACAAAUAGAUGAUUACCUAAACAAUAUGGUAUUCUUCCCUAUACUAAGUUGGCAGACCACACAGAAGAUUUUUCAGGACACUUUUACAAAAAGUCUUCAGUUUGAACAAUUUGUACAAGCUUGGCUCACCAGUAUUUACGACACAUUCUUUCCACUCACAUCGUAUAAACAAAAAUUUGCCCAUCUUAAUGUUUACAGU
This is a long non-coding RNA of Pseudopipra pipra, 11944 nucleotides long. RefSeq lists it as uncharacterized. The transcript is spliced from 3 exons. The record is from RefSeq and is a predicted model, not a curated record. Lineage: Eukaryota; Metazoa; Chordata; Aves; Passeriformes; Pipridae.